GGGGAAUUUUGGACAAUGGGGGCAACCCUGAUCCAGCCAUUCCGCGUGAGUGAAGAAGGCCUUCGGGUUGUAAAGCUCUUUUGUCCGGAACGAAACGGAUACGUCUAAUACGCGUGUCUACUGACGGUACCGGAAGAAUAAGCACCGGCUAACUACGUGCCGGCAGCCGCGGUAAUACGUAGGGUGCGAGAGUUAAUCGGAAUUACUGGGCGUAAAGCGUGCGCAGGCGGUUAUGUAAGACAGAUGUGAAAUGCCCGGGCUUAACCUGGGAACUGCAUUUGCGACUGCAUGGCUAGAGUUUGGCAGAGGGGGGUAGAAUUCCACGUGUAGCAGUGAAAUGCGUAGAUAUGUGGAGGAAUACCGAUGGCGAAGGCAGCCCCCUGGGUCAAGACUGACGCUCAUGCACGAAAGCGUGGGGAGCAAAC
This 425-nucleotide ribosomal RNA is filed under the name uncultured bacterium. RNAcentral describes it as "bacterial SSU rRNA". It matches the Rfam family "Bacterial small subunit ribosomal RNA", at positions 356 to 773 of the family's 1533-position model. The record is from RNAcentral.